AAGUCGUAACAAGGUUUCCGUAGGUGAACCUGCGGAAGGAUCAUUAACACGUAUCCAACGUUAAACCCCCCGUGAACCUUCAGUGCGCUCGCACUUUCUUAGAAAAGGUAGCAAUCCCUGGUAAAUCAUUGCCGAACAGUUUUGAUUCAGGGACUUCUGCGUAGACUGUGCUUGAGCGUGAGGCAAGUGGCCUGGCAUUCCUCUGCUUGUUGGUGUCUGAAAGUGUAAACGGGCCUGCGCUUAAUUGUGCGGCCACCAAACUCGAACAACUGUUAACAAUGGAUAUCUUGGUUCUC
RNAcentral lists this unclassified non-coding RNA (296 nucleotides) under fungal sp. Its description in RNAcentral is "partial internal transcribed spacer region". The stretch from base 1 to 46 matches the Rfam family "Eukaryotic small subunit ribosomal RNA", at positions 1786 to 1831 of the family's 1831-position model. The record is from RNAcentral. Lineage: Eukaryota; Fungi.